GAUGAACGCUGGCGGCGUGCCUAAUACAUGCAAGUCGAGCGAAUGAUGAGGAGCUUGCUCCUCUGAUUUAGCGGCGGACGGGUGAGUAACACGUGGGUAAUCUGCCUGUAAGACGGGGAUAACUCCGGGAAACCGGGGCUAAUACCGGAUAAUAAGAGAAGAAGCAUUUCUUCUUUUUGAAAGUCGGUUUCGGCUGACACUUACAGAUGAGCCCGCGGCGCAUUAGCUAGUUGGUGAGGUAACGGCUCACCAAGGCGACGAUGCGUAGCCGACCUGAGAGGGUGAUCGGCCACACUGGGACUGAGACACGGCCCAGACUCCGACGGGAGGCAGCAGUAGGGAAUCUUCGGCAAUGGGCGAAAGCCUGACCGAGCAACGCCGCGUGAGCGAUGAAGGCCUUCGGGUCGUAAAGCUCUGUUGUUAGAGAAGGACAAGUACGAGAGUAACUGCUCGUACCUUGACGGUACCUAACCAGAAAGCCACGGCUAACUACGUGCCAGCAGCCGCAGUAA
This 512-nucleotide ribosomal RNA is filed under the name uncultured bacterium. Its description in RNAcentral is "partial 16S ribosomal RNA". It matches the Rfam family "Bacterial small subunit ribosomal RNA", at positions 28 to 523 of the family's 1533-position model. The record is from RNAcentral.